This 75-nucleotide transfer RNA is filed under the name Streptomyces viridochromogenes. RNAcentral describes it as "tRNA-Tyr". It matches the Rfam family "tRNA". From Rfam's summary of the family: Transfer RNA (tRNA) molecules are approximately 80 nucleotides in length. Their secondary structure includes four short double-helical elements and three loops (D, anti-codon, and T loops). The record is from RNAcentral. Lineage: Bacteria; Bacillati; Actinomycetota; Actinomycetes; Kitasatosporales; Streptomycetaceae.
CGACGUGUAGCUCAGCAGCAGAGCACCGGGCUGUAAUCCCGGAGGGCGCAGGGGCGGCACCUGCCACGUCGGCCU